GCUUCGUUGCGAAGAACCUUCGCCUUUCGCUUCUUCAGUGCUUCCGAAGACAUUUUUAAGAUGGAAAGCGCCGGCUAAUUUACGAUUGGAGAGGAAGCAAACGGUGCUGUCGUGGAGGAACAGGUUUCAGCUCAGUGGAAGGCAGGGAUCCACUCAGCAGGAGGUCACAUCACAAAGUUACGUCAGCCGAGGUAAAACAAGCUGCUCGAGCAGGUAAUCUGAGAUCCAAAGUGGAAGAAGAGGAGACCACAGAUCAACACAGUCC
This is a long non-coding RNA of Hippocampus comes (tiger tail seahorse), 265 nucleotides long. RefSeq lists it as uncharacterized. Lineage: Eukaryota; Metazoa; Chordata; Actinopteri; Syngnathiformes; Syngnathidae. The record is from RefSeq and is a predicted model, not a curated record. The transcript is spliced from 3 exons.